GUAAAAAAAGAAGAAAAUUAUCAAUGAAACCUGAUGUGAGCAGCCAAGGAAUUGGUAUGAGUUGUUCUGGACCUGCAGAGACAUACUUUAUGAUCACGUCUGUACCAGCCACAUCUCAGCCCAUAUCUGAAGGCCUCAAACACCCAGAGUCACAUCAGGACAGCACAGCAGAUCCCAAAGACACUCGCUCUUUCAUUACAUCUGUCAAUCCAAUUUACCAGCCCUCAGGUAAUGAAAUGUUUAUUUUAUUAAAGUAG
This 257-nucleotide long non-coding RNA is filed under the name Carassius auratus (goldfish). RNAcentral describes it as "lncRNA (ENSCARG00000020883.1)". The record is from RNAcentral. Lineage: Eukaryota; Metazoa; Chordata; Actinopteri; Cypriniformes; Cyprinidae.